CCCUUCUUUCUGAUAUGCCACGGGCCAAACGUUCUAUUCCAUAAUAAGCAAAUUUUUAACCAAACCGAAGUAAUCAGGGGGUUUGGAUAGAUCAAUUAAUUUGAGUUAAAGAUUAAAGGAAUUAGAGGUCUCGAGUUCAAACGUGGAUAACGGAGAAAGAAUGUAUUGGGAGAGAAGAAGAGAGAGGGAACAAAUAUAGAAGAAAGGGGACUUACAAACGACCAUGAGCCCUGUGCUCUGCAGGUGCAUGCCAGUGAAGUUGUCUCAAUGAAUAAUUCAUUCCAUUUAUGUUAAUAUCUCCCACUUUACCUUCAAAAUGUACCUAUAUUUUAACAAACUCAACCAUAUCAGUUGAUAUCACAAUUUUCCUUAACAACCUUACCUUAUAAUUGUGUAAUUUGUUUGUAACAGACGUUGGACCCAACACUGAUACCUAGACACCGACUAAUAAUAAUAAUUUGAAAAGUAGAAAUGAUUGGCAUCGACUCGUGUCUAACAUCAAACACAUAUUCGAUUUGAAGUGUCAGUAGUAUAUAGUUAUGAUGGGGUAACCACAAUUUUUCCACUUUUUAAGAGAUUUGUAUAGUUGAUGAACAUACAUACCCCAAUGUUGAAUUGGUUGUUAACAAGUGUAGCAUUUGUGGGAAGGUAGUUUCUGUCUAAGGAUUUCAAUUCCUGGUUCAUGACAAUAUCUGUCAUUACAAGAUCCACUGGACUUUGUGCUUUCCCAUUUGAACAUGCCGCGAAAGAUGGACUCAGAGUUCCCCACUUCUCAGGACCAUUUGGUCCAAUAUAACUAAAAUUAACCGAAUCUAGCAUAAAAAAACAAACAAAAACCUAGUCAUAACAAGUAAUCAUCAUAUCAUAACAUAUAAUUUAAUUAUGAUAAAUGCAAAAUGAAAUCUUACUAUAAUUUGCUGAAGUGCAUAGAGCCAAAGUUGCAAUAAAAAGGAUUGAGAAGUAAAUCUGCAAGGCCAUUUUGAAUAGCUAUUAUCUACCUAUGAUUGCUUUGAUCUAAGAACCUAUGUCUUAUUUCCUCAGCUUUGUAGAACAUAUAUAGUGAUGGUUGUGUGGUAUUGUGUUCUUCUUCAAUAUAUAUUAUCAAUAUUAUGGUCAAUUUGGACAUUUUGAGGAUAUGCUCAACUUUGGAUGGUGGAUGAAUUUGUUGAGGUUACUUACAAGAUCAGUGGAGAGACAAUGCUGUCCUUUUCUAUAUGGGAAAAGUAUGCUGGCAAGGAGCAUUUAGCAGAUUCUAUUGGGACUUAUGAUUGAAGAGUUUUGGAUUUUAAAUUUUAUUUCUAUUAUUUGUAGAAUUGUUUUAAUAAUCAACCUAGCAAAGUGGCAUCAUAAUGUGAUUUUUUAUUUUAUAAUCAUGUUAUUAGUGUGAAUUGCAAGUAUUUUCUAAUUUUAUC
Molecule: long non-coding RNA, 1412 nt
Filed under: Medicago truncatula (barrel medic)
Lineage: Eukaryota; Viridiplantae; Streptophyta; Magnoliopsida; Fabales; Fabaceae
Description: lncRNA gene3360
Source: RNAcentral